UUCAAAACUUCAGUGUACCAUCAUCUGGGUCAUUGCAUAUACCUCCAGCACCAGUUUAUUAUCCUAGUGAAGAGGAAUUUAAGGACCCUUUAGGGUAUAUAUACAAGAUCAGAGCAGAGGCUGAGAAAUAUGGGAUAUGUAAGAUUGUCCCACCAAAGAGCUGGACACCACCAUUUGCAUUGAAUUUGGAUAAUUUUAGCUUUCCCACGAAAACACAGGC
This 220-nucleotide unclassified non-coding RNA is filed under the name Hevea brasiliensis (rubber tree). The record is from RNAcentral. Lineage: Eukaryota; Viridiplantae; Streptophyta; Magnoliopsida; Malpighiales; Euphorbiaceae.